UACGAAGGGGGCUAGCGUUGCUCGGAAUUACUGGGCGUAAAGGGAGCGUAGGCGGAUAGUUUAGUCAGAGGUGAAAGCCCAGGGCUCAACCCUGGAAUUGCCUUUGAUACUGGCUAUCUUGAGUGUGGGAGAGGUUAGCGGAACUCCGAGUGUAGAGGUGAAAUUCGUAGAUAUUCGGAAGAACACCAGUGGCGAAGGCGGCUAACUGGCCCAUUACUGACGCUGAGGUGCGAAAGCGUGGGGAGCAAACAGG
Molecule: ribosomal RNA, 253 nt
Filed under: uncultured bacterium
Lineage: Bacteria
Description: partial 16S ribosomal RNA
Rfam family: Bacterial small subunit ribosomal RNA
Source: RNAcentral